RNAcentral lists this ribosomal RNA (398 nucleotides) under uncultured Neocallimastigomycetes. Its description in RNAcentral is "eukaryotic LSU rRNA". It matches the Rfam family "Eukaryotic large subunit ribosomal RNA", at positions 127 to 522 of the family's 3401-position model. Lineage: Eukaryota; Fungi; Neocallimastigomycota; Neocallimastigomycetes. The record is from RNAcentral.
GUUCUACCUUGACGAAUUGUAGUUUAAAGAAGUGUUUUCUGUUAGAGGAGUAGCAAAAGUUCCUUGGAAUGGGACAUCAUAGAGGGUGAGAAUCCCGUAUUUGGUUAUUCUUUCUAGCUUUGUGAUACACUUUCAAAGAGUCGGAUUGUUUGGGAAUGCAGUCCAAAAUGGGUGGUAAAUUUCAUCUAAAGCUAAAUAUUGGCGAGAGACCGAUAGCGAACAAGUACCGUGAGGGAAAGAUGAAAAGAACUUUGAAAAGAGAGUUAAACAGUACGUGAAAUUGUCGAAAGGGAAGCGUUUGACACCAGUGUUGUUUUUCCGAAAAUCAAUUAAGAACGGCUUGAUUUUGUGUUGUAUUGACCUUAUCAGCUUUCUUCACUCUUUUUCGAGUCUUUCUU